ACUCCUACGGGAGGCAGCAGUGGGGAAUAUUGCACAAUGGAGGGAACUCUGAUGCAGCGACGCCGCGUGAGUGAAGAAGGUCUUCGGAUCGUAAAACUCUGUCCUUGGUGAAGAAAAGGACGGUAGCCAAGGAGGAAGCCCCGGCUAACUACGUGCCAGCAGCCGCGGUAAUA
Molecule: ribosomal RNA, 173 nt
Filed under: uncultured bacterium
Lineage: Bacteria
Description: partial 16S ribosomal RNA
Rfam family: Bacterial small subunit ribosomal RNA
Source: RNAcentral